AUACGUAGGGUGCGAGCGUUAAUCGGAAUUACUGGGCGUAAAGCGUGCGCAGGCGGCUUUAUAAGCCAGAUGUGAAAUCCCCGGGCUCAACCUGGGAACUGCAUUUGGAACUGUAAGGCUAGAGUACGGCAGAGGGGAGUAGAAUUCCACGUGUAGCAGUGAAAUGCGUAGAUAUGUGGAGGAAUACCGAUGGCGAAGGCAGCCCCCUGGGUCGAUACUGACGCUCAUGCACGAAAGCGUGGGGAGCAAACAGGAUUAGAAACCCUAGUAGUCC
RNAcentral lists this ribosomal RNA (274 nucleotides) under uncultured bacterium. RNAcentral's name for it is "partial 16S ribosomal RNA". It matches the Rfam family "Bacterial small subunit ribosomal RNA", at positions 523 to 796 of the family's 1533-position model. The record is from RNAcentral.